GAAAUUUGGCCCUAAAAGUUUAUAAUUAUUUCAUUUCGACUUCCCAAAAUUUAAAAGAGUUUCACUUGCACACACCUAUAGUAAAUAUUUUUGGAAAAUUUUCAGUACUAGAUGCAUCUUGCAUAUAUUUACAAGGUCAUGUGAUGAUGAGCUUUUUGAUUAGUGUCUCCAUACUUGUCAUAAAUUCAUAUUUUCACAAAAAAUAUCUAGAAUUAUUGAAAAAGAAAAUAUUCAAAUGAUUUAAUAUGAUGUGAAACUUAUAAAUUGGUAUACCAAAUGCGCACUUGUGUAUUAGUUACCUGAACAUGGUAGCUGAAACCAUCUUCUGUUCUUU
This 334-nucleotide long non-coding RNA is filed under the name Panax ginseng (ginseng). Its description in RNAcentral is "long non-coding RNA (PGIN_LNC000965)". The record is from RNAcentral. Lineage: Eukaryota; Viridiplantae; Streptophyta; Magnoliopsida; Apiales; Araliaceae.